This 660-nucleotide ribosomal RNA is filed under the name Pseudoalteromonas sp. 9AR. Its description in RNAcentral is "bacterial SSU rRNA". It matches the Rfam family "Bacterial small subunit ribosomal RNA", at positions 66 to 721 of the family's 1533-position model. Lineage: Bacteria; Pseudomonadati; Pseudomonadota; Gammaproteobacteria; Alteromonadales; Pseudoalteromonadaceae. The record is from RNAcentral.
GCGGUAACAGAAAGUAGCUUGCUACUUUGCUGACGAGCGGCGGACGGGUGAGUAAUGCUUGGGAACAUGCCUUGAGGUGGGGGACAACAGUUGGAAACGACUGCUAAUACCGCAUAAUGUCUACGGACCAAAGGGGGCUUCGGCUCUCGCCUUUAGAUUGGCCCAAGUGGGAUUAGCUAGUUGGUGAGGUAAUGGCUCACCAAGGCGACGAUCCCUAGCUGGUUUGAGAGGAUGAUCAGCCACACUGGGACUGAGACACGGCCCAGACUCCUACGGGAGGCAGCAGUGGGGAAUAUUGCACAAUGGGCGCAAGCCUGAUGCAGCCAUGCCGCGUGUGUGAAGAAGGCCUUCGGGUUGUAAAGCACUUUCAGUCAGGAGGAAAGGUUAACGGUUAAUACCCGUUAGCUGUGACGUUACUGACAGAAGAAGCACCGGCUAACUCCGUGCCAGCAGCCGCGGUAAUACGGAGGGUGCGAGCGUUAAUCGGAAUUACUGGGCGUAAAGCGUACGCAGGCGGUUUGUUAAGCGAGAUGUGAAAGCCCCGGGCUCAACCUGGGAACUGCAUUUCGAACUGGCAAACUAGAGUGUGAUAGAGGGUGGUAGAAUUUCAGGUGUAGCGGUGAAAUGCGUAGAGAUCUGAAGGAAUACCGAUGGCGAAGG